RNA transcript from Helianthus annuus (common sunflower), 2666 nucleotides. RefSeq lists it as uncharacterized. The transcript has 9 exons. NCBI's taxonomy places the organism in Eukaryota, Viridiplantae, Streptophyta, Magnoliopsida, Asterales, Asteraceae. The record is from RefSeq and is a predicted model, not a curated record.
UUUAUAGUUUUCCCUCUAUAGUUUCCACACAAUAACCAUCUCCCCCAAAAUGAAUUUCCAAUUCCCAGAAUCACGUUUAACAAAAAUCGGUUUCCCUCCCCCAACCCUUCAUGGAUUUUGGUUAUCAUUCGCAUUCGCGCUCAAGGAGUCAAACUUCAGAGCCGUUGUGGCUGAGAAUCGUGAUAUCGGUUCAAUUCGCAUAAAUUAUGUAGGUGGUCAACAAUAAUAGGUGGUAUACGCAAGCAGAAUACUGAGUAGAUCAAACGAAUAUACCUCAGAUGUAUUGUGUUUUAGUCAUACUCACAUAUUCAAGCCUUAUCCCAUCUUACAUGUAUCCUAAGGAAAAAGAAGACUGUUCCAUCAUACAACUAUGUGUGUGACACUGAUGCACGAUUAUUUAGUGAUCUCAUUAUAUGGUCUAUUGGACAGGGUGACGUAGAAAUUCUUUCUCAGCUUGAUAUGCUUAGAGAUGCUAAUGAAGUCUCUUAUUCUUAUGAACUAGUAGAACAUUAGUAUAAGAUUCUUGAAGUGGGACAAUAGUCGUCUAAUAUCCUUUUUUAAUUGCCAUUUGUGGUGCUGCUACGCCUUUGUAUUCGAGGCAAAUUGAUACCUGUGUUGAAGAUGAUGUCAAAUUCCCAAAUUUUGUCAACAAGGAUGAAAUCACAUGCAUCUUGGGGGAAGCUUCUGCGUGUGAUUUUGAUGAAGAAAUUCUCUUUAAAAAUCAGGGGACAGGGGACUGCAAGCAGUUGAGUACAAGCUUCACUUCUGAGGCUGAUAAUGAUAACUACCAGAAUAUAAAUCCUUUUAUUUCUGGCGGAAAUAGAAAAGGUGUUUGCACUUGGCUUGCAGAAAAUGCAGAUAUUAAUGUGACUAAUAAUUGUGCUUCAUUCCACUCUUUAUCUUCCAAACUUAGAUGUCAUCUAAAGGUGGCCAAGGCAAAGCCAAACACAAGUUUUCUAUUCGAACACAGUCACAUAAGGACAAUUUAAAUAAAGAUUCAAGUGAUGUCUAUGAAAGUCACACAUUAGUUAAGGAAAAAGAGAUGGAUGGGAUGACGAAUUAUAUGACGCCAGCUAGAUUUCCGAUUUCACAUACUCAUUCCACGACUUCAGUAGCAGAGCUCCUUUUACGGGUUCAAAUUGAACAUGAUCUACCUGAAGGAAGUACUGUAAAUGAACAUGCCCUGUUUCAUUAGUUAAGAGGUGUGUAUGUUGACCCAUUUACAUACGAAUGAGUGGAUUUGAUAUAUAUUUUCUUCUAAAGGGUUAAAUGGGUAAGCUACAGGUUACAAGAGUCAAAUAAAUACUAAACAAGUAUCUGAUAUCUCGUGGAUCCCAACCCGUAUUUAUUAACUCGAUUGCCUUUUCCCUUUGGUUAUUGACUUAAUUCGGUUUGGCUGUAUUCAUCUUCUUUAUGUUCUUGUUUCAAUUGUUUUUUCAUGUUUCAAUGCUGGUGGGUGAUUUCUUGAGACAAAGAGAGGAUGGUUAUGAUAUUGGUGAAGGUUUCAAAGAUUUAUUAAAAGAAAUUGCUGCUUUGGAUUAUGGUUAAGAUGUCUAGUUUAGGCCCACCAUGCUUUCGAUGAAAUUCUAAAGAGAAAAAAAAAAACUAAUAAUGUUUCCUUUUGUGGUUCAAGAACAAUAACCAGAUUUGGGAAUAGAAAGCCUCAGCUUGAUCUGGUGAGUACCCAUUUGUUAUUUGGUUAGGCUCUCGAAUGCAGAUUGACCAUGGUAUAUUGACAGGGUUAAGGAUGAUAAUUAUUUUACCAAAUUCUUACAUUAUUCUAACUAGGGAUGAAGAUUUGAAUACCGUACCGGUAUUCAGUAACUAGGUAUUUUCGUUAUAGGUCCCAGUUCAGUACCAAUACCUUGUAGAGAGAGCUUUCAGUAACGGUUGGGCUUGUAAAUGAACCGAACGAACACGAACAGAGGCAUGUUUAUGUUCGUUCAUUUAACUUUAACCGAACACAAACAUAUAAUUGAGCACAUUUUUGUUCAUGUUCGAAGGACUAUAAACAAAUGUAAAGAUCGAGAGGACAUUAUGGUUAGUCUAUUUUCAAUCUGCUAUUUUUACUGCAAACUUUCUUAUUAUACCAGAUAAUGGAUUUACAUCAUAUGAAACUUUUGUUAUGUCCUAUAUUUCAGACCAUGGUUGAAUUGAUGGGGGCACAAGUUUUGAAACCGCUGAUUGCAACCAAAGUUACUCAUCUUAUAUGCUACAAAUUAGAAGGUGUGUUGUAUUAACUUAGUUCACUUAUGCAUUUUCUCUAGGUGGCUUUUUUACUGAACAAGAUAUUAAGAGCCUACCAUGUUUACAGGUGAUGGCAAUUCCGACAACUAGGGGUAUUGAAAAAACCACCCAAUCUUUUGGCUGAAGAGCUUCAAGUGAUGUCAAAAGAAGUUGAGUAUAGUCAGUUGGCUGAUGUAGCGACAAUAAGUAGUAAGUGUUGGGAACUAUGAAGUGGAAGUAUGACUGCUAAGAAAACGUUAACACGAUGAUUAUUUAACUCACAUGAAGAUUGUGAAAGAGAUUCAUGAACACAAUGAAGUUUUGAGUUUUUAUUGAUACACGUGUUAGUUUAUUUGGGUUAUAUGUUUGAUCAUUAGACUUAGAUCGACACUUAUUAGGCAUUUGGAAUCUUUGGAAGAUUGAUUGAACUUUUAAUUGAA